ACUCCUACGGGAGGCAGCAGUGGGGAAUAUUGCACAAUGGGGGAAACCCUGAUGCAGCCAUGCCGCGUGUGUGAAGAAGGCCUUGGGUUGUAAAGCACUUUCAGUAGGGAGGAAGGUAGUGUAGUUAAUACCUGCAUUAUUUGACGUUACCUACAGAAGAAGCACCGGCUAACUCCGUGCCAGCAGCCGCGGUAAUACGGAGGGUGCGAGCGUUAAUCGGAAUUACUGGGCGUAAAGCGCAUGCAGGCGGCCUGUUAAGUCAGAUGUGAAAGCCCGGGGUCUUAACCUCGGAAUUGCAUUUGAAACUGGCAGGCUAGAGUCUUGUAGAGGGGUUAGAAUUUCAGGUGUAGCGGUGAAAUGCGUAGAGAUCUGAAGGAAUACCGAGUGGCGAAGGCGGCCCCUGGACAAAGACUGACGCUCAGAUGCGAAAGCGUGGGAGCAAACAGGAUUACGAUACCCCGUGGUAGCGACU
RNAcentral lists this ribosomal RNA (472 nucleotides) under uncultured bacterium. Its description in RNAcentral is "bacterial SSU rRNA". It matches the Rfam family "Bacterial small subunit ribosomal RNA", at positions 335 to 797 of the family's 1533-position model. The record is from RNAcentral.